Long non-coding RNA from Oreochromis niloticus (Nile tilapia), 331 nucleotides. RefSeq lists it as uncharacterized. The record is from RefSeq and is a predicted model, not a curated record. NCBI's taxonomy places the organism in Eukaryota, Metazoa, Chordata, Actinopteri, Cichliformes, Cichlidae. The transcript is spliced from 4 exons.
CCAAUUUUAUUUUUUUGAUGCGUGGACAUCGUGGACAUCCAGUACUGCACUUUUUAAUUUAGAAGGUGAAGGUGCUGCCCACCCAUGAUGCCAGCAAGGUGCGUGCAAGUGGAUCCGGCCUUAAAACCACUGGAGUGCCCACCUGUCUGCCAGUGAAGUUCAACAUUGAUGCCAAAGAUGCAGGACCCAGACGGGAAGCCCAAGAAGCAAAUAUCUGUGACAACCAUGAUGGGACCUACCUGGUGUCUUAUGUGCCAGACAUGACUGACAGCUGCUCAGUCCAUCCAGACUCCUCUCCAUAUGCAACAGUGAUGCCGGCUCUCUCCAAGUG